AACGAACGCUGGCGGCGCGUCUUAAACAUGCAAGUCGAACGGCAGGAAGGGGCUUGCCCCUUCUGAGAGUGGCGGACUGGUGAGUAACACGUGGGUGACAUACCUUUUAGUUGGGGAUAGCUAUUAGAAAUAGUAGGUAAUACCGAAUGUGACCGUACCUGUUAGAGGGGUACGAGGAAAGGAGCUAAGGCUUCGCUAAAAGAAUGGCUCGCGGCCCAUUAUGCUCGUUGGUGAGGUAACGGCCCACCAAGGCGAUGAUGGGUAUCCGGCCUGAGAGGGUGAACGGACACAUUGGGACUGAGAUACGGCCCAGACUUCUACGGGAGGCAGCAGUUAAGAAUAGUCCGCAAUGGACGAAAGUCUGACGGAGCGACGCCGCGUGGAUGAAGAAUGCCGAAAGGUUGUAAAAUCCUUUUAAGCCUGAUGAAUAAGCACAGUAGGGAAUGACUGUGCGGUGACCGUAGGGCUUGAAUAAGCACCGGCUAAUUACGUG
This 493-nucleotide ribosomal RNA is filed under the name uncultured bacterium. Its description in RNAcentral is "partial 16S ribosomal RNA". It matches the Rfam family "Bacterial small subunit ribosomal RNA", at positions 29 to 507 of the family's 1533-position model. The record is from RNAcentral.